GUCUGCCUGGGUGUCACAA
This 19-nucleotide non-coding RNA is filed under the name Arabidopsis thaliana (thale cress). Lineage: Eukaryota; Viridiplantae; Streptophyta; Magnoliopsida; Brassicales; Brassicaceae. The record is from RNAcentral.